AUUUGAAAAACUCUUUCAAAUGUCCUGGAUAUGGCUAUGUAAGUGGAUGGGAAUAUUUAGAAGGAUUCGGUGAAAACGUUCGCUGUUGUGAAGAUAAAAACAUAGAGUACACAUUCAGAGACUGCGAUUUACAUUUGGAUGACGCGACAUCACUUGGGAGAACCUAUAGAAUUAAUAAAGGAAAGGUUAUCGUUGGAUUCAACAGUAAAGAUGGCGGAGUAACUUGGAACAACAUAGAAUGCUCAUAUAGAAAACGUCCAACAUAUGGCUGGGGAAAACAAGACGGUUCAACAUUUUAUAAGGGAAAAUAGAUCAAAGAAGAAGAAGAGAAAAAAUGUCGAACUCUAAGUUAACAGCAUAUACAAAUGCCCCCGU
Long non-coding RNA from Mytilus trossulus (common blue mussel), 375 nucleotides. RefSeq lists it as uncharacterized. The transcript has 3 exons. The record is from RefSeq and is a predicted model, not a curated record. Lineage: Eukaryota; Metazoa; Mollusca; Bivalvia; Mytilida; Mytilidae.